Molecule: ribosomal RNA, 473 nt
Filed under: uncultured bacterium
Lineage: Bacteria
Description: bacterial SSU rRNA
Rfam family: Bacterial small subunit ribosomal RNA
Source: RNAcentral
CUCUGUGACUCCUACGGGAGGCAGCAGUGGGGAAUAUUGCACAAUGGGCGCAAGCCUGAUGCAGCCAUGCCGCGUGUGUGAAGAAGGCCUUCGGGUUGUAAAGCACUUUCAGUUGUGAGGAAGGUGGUGUCGUUAAUAGCGGCAUCAUUUGACGUUAGCAACAGAAGAAGCACCGGCUAACUCCGUGCCAGCAGCCGCGGUAAUACGGAGGGUGCGAGCGUUAAUCGGAAUUACUGGGCGUAAAGCGCAUGCAGGUGGUUUGUUAAGUCAGAUGUGAAAGCCCCGGGGCUCAACCUCGGAACUGCAUUUGAAACUGGCAGACUAGAGUACUGUAGAGGGGGUAGAAUUUCAGGUGUAGCGGUGAAAUGCGUAGAGAUCUGAAGGAAUACCGGUGGCGAAGGCGGCCCCCUGGACAGAUACUGACACUCAGAUGCGAAAGCGUGGGGAGCAAACAGGAUUAGAUACCCUGGUGG